Molecule: ribosomal RNA, 247 nt
Filed under: uncultured bacterium
Lineage: Bacteria
Description: partial 16S ribosomal RNA
Rfam family: Bacterial small subunit ribosomal RNA
Source: RNAcentral
AUACGGAGGGUGCAAGCGUUAUCCGGAUUUAUUGGGUUUAAAGGGUGCGUAGGCGGCCUUUUAAGUCAGUGGUGAAAACCUGCGGCUCAACCGUAGGCGUGCCAUUGAAACUGAAGGGCUUGAGUCACCAUGAGGCAGGCGGAAUGUGUAGUGUAGCGGUGAAAUGCUUAGAUAUUACACAGAACACCGAUUGCGUAGGCAGCUUGCUAAAGGUACACUGACGCUGAUGCACGAAAGCGUGGGGAUC